CCUACGGGAGGCUGCAGUGGGGAAUAUUGCACAAUGGGGGAAACCCUGAUGCAGCGACGCCGCGUGAGUGAAGAAGUAAUUCGUUAUGUAAAGCUCUAUCAGCAGGGAAGAAAAUGACGGUACCUGAGUAAGAAGCCCCGGCUAACUACGUGCCAGCAGCCGCGGUAAUACGUAGGGGGCGAGCGUUAUCCGGAUUUAUUGGGUUUAAAGGGUGCGCAGGCGGGAGAUCAAGUCAGCGGUAAAAUGUCGGGGCUCAACCCCGGCCGGCCGUUGAAACUGGUUUUCUAGAGUUGGAGAGAAGUAUGCGGAAUUCGUGGUGUAGCGGUGAAAUGCAUAGAUAUCACGAAGAACUCCGAUUGCGAAGGCAGCAUACCGGCUCCAUACUGACGCUGAGGCACGAAAGCGUGGGGAUCGAACAGGAUUAGAUACCCUGGUAGUC
This 439-nucleotide ribosomal RNA is filed under the name uncultured bacterium. RNAcentral's name for it is "partial 16S ribosomal RNA". It matches the Rfam family "Bacterial small subunit ribosomal RNA", at positions 338 to 795 of the family's 1533-position model. The record is from RNAcentral.